RNAcentral lists this long non-coding RNA (713 nucleotides) under Phaseolus vulgaris (common bean). RNAcentral's name for it is "long non-coding RNA (PVUL_LNC000697)". Lineage: Eukaryota; Viridiplantae; Streptophyta; Magnoliopsida; Fabales; Fabaceae. The record is from RNAcentral.
CUAAUGCUAGUUAGUUACGGUAGUUAUUGUAGAUGUCUCCUUUUAUCUAUCAUUGGUGCUUUCAUUGAUCUUGCUCCACAAUCCAAAGAUAUGGAAGAGCUUCUUCAGGCCAUUCAAGACCGCCUCACAACCAUACAAUCUCAAAUGGAGGCUACAGAAGCUUGCCAGAACAAUCUGGAUGCACAUAAUGACCUCAUCCAGUCAUCCAUGUCUCUGUUACAAAACCAGGUUUCUACUCUACCUCCCCCACAAUCUUCACCUUUUACUACUGUAACCGCCCCUCAUCUUGGAUUUCUCCGCCAAGUGGCGUGAGUAUCCUCCAUCCUCCACCAUCACAACUCUCUUUUCUCUUCUCAAUUCUAAAUUCUUGUUUUAUUCUUUACUUUUCUUCAAUUCUUAUCUUCUAUACUUUCGCUCUUAUUUUCAUACUCUUAUGUGUGUAUUUUUCUCUUUUUCUCUUUGAAGAUAACCUUCACACUUAGUUAAUCACUUGGUUAAGUUUGUGUCCAAUGACAUCCUCACUGAGUGUUCACCAUAAUUGAUAAUCAAAUUCCUAACUCAAGUGAAACUAAUAAAUUAAUGUGUAUGUCUUGUAAUUCAACUCAUAUGAUGUGGUAUUUAGAGCAUGAUUUAAUUCAAAUUGAUCUUUGAUUUGAAAUAACUUGUUUAAUUUUUUUCAUGUUUCACGUGAGCAUAAUUGAAUUCGACAAUUG